UACGGAGGGUGCGAGCGUUAUCCGGAAUUACUGGGUUUAAAGGGUGCGUAGGCGGCUUUGUAAGUCAGGAGUGAAAGUUUGCGGCUCAACCGUAAAAUUGCUUCUGAUACUGCAUGGCUAGAAUUAGGAUGAGGUCAGCGGAAUGUGGCAUGUAGCGGUGAAAUGCAUAGAUAUGCCAUAGAACACCAAUUGCGAAGGCAGCUGGCUAGACCUGGAUUGACGCUGAGGCACGAAAGCGUGGGGAGCGAACAGGAUUAGAUACCCUGGUAGUCCACGCCCUAAACGAUGCUUACUCGACGUAUGGCACUAGUUGUUGUGCGUCCAAGGGAAACCGUUAAGUAAGCCACCUGGGGAGUACGACCGCAAGGUUG
RNAcentral lists this ribosomal RNA (371 nucleotides) under uncultured prokaryote. Its description in RNAcentral is "bacterial SSU rRNA". It matches the Rfam family "Bacterial small subunit ribosomal RNA", at positions 524 to 896 of the family's 1533-position model. The record is from RNAcentral.